This is a long non-coding RNA of Oryza sativa Japonica Group (Japanese rice), 773 nucleotides long. RefSeq lists it as uncharacterized. NCBI's taxonomy places the organism in Eukaryota, Viridiplantae, Streptophyta, Magnoliopsida, Poales, Poaceae. The record is from RefSeq and is a predicted model, not a curated record.
AAGCAUUGCCCCGGGGUCUCCAGACGGUAGCAAGCGACCAAGGUUAGAAUAACUCAAGGAUCAAGUUUGCAACUGAUCGAAUUUGCUAGCUAGCUGGUUUCACAAUGCACCGGGCAACAAGAAGGGGAUAUACGGGCGAUCCGCCAACAAAGGUACUAGAGAGAGAGAACGCCGAUGCGCACAAGGAUCAAGUCAAGGGCUUAAACGGCAGAAUCAGUAAAUUAAACGACACAAUAAAAGAGUUAAACGACACGAUCGAGGCGCUGGAGAGGCAGGUUCAGAACCUGACCAGGUACAAGGAAGAGAAGCAGAAGCAGCACGCGAAUCUUCAGAAAGAAUUCGCAGAGCUGGAGAGGAAAUACAGAGACCUGGAUGCAGCCCACAGGAAUUGCGGCCCCACUGUCAGAUUCCCUGUUUUCACCGUCGGACAACCCUACUAUCACCGCCACAAUUGAUCGAUCGAUAUGAUCGAUCUGCACAACCAUCGAAUGCCCUACGUACGUACCUGAAUAUAUGUAUAAGUAUCUAUACAGUAUAUGCAGGGUUGUGUGUGAUGUAUAUGCAUGCCUAUGAGAGUUGCGAGUGUACUGUAUGUAUAUGUGUGUGAAGAAUAAAGCUGCAUGUAUACUGGCAGCUAUAUAUCUAGAGCAUGCAACAUUGAUAUGUGAUCGAUCGAUGUCAUGCAACCUCUCCUGUUCCUGCAGCUGGAUGUAAUAUUGAAAUGCAAAGUGUGGUCAGUACAUAUAUAUAUACUUGUUGUUAUACGCUGGUUA